AUUGAACGCUGGCGGCAGGCCUAACGCAUGCAAGUCGAGCGGUAGCACGGGGAGCUUGCUCCUGGGUGACGAGCGGCGGACGGGUGAGUAAUGUCUGGGAAACUGCCUGAUGGAGGGGGAUAACUACUGGAAACGGUAGCUAAUACCGCAUAACGUCGCAAGACCAAAGAGGGGGACCUUCGGGCCUCUUGCCAUCAGAUGUGCCCAGAUGGGAUUAGCUAGUAGGUGGGGUAACGGCUCACCUAGGCGACGAUCCCUAGCUGGUCUGAGAGGAUGACCAGCCACACUGGAACUGAGACACGGUCCAGACUCCUACGGGAGGCAGCAGUGGGGAAUAUUGCACAAUGGGCGCAAGCCUGAUGCAGCCAUGCCGCGUGUAUGAAGAAGGCCUUCGGGUUGUAAAGUACUUUCAGCGGGGAGGAAGGUGUCGAGGUUAAUAACCUCAGCAAUUGACGUUACCCGCAGAAGAAGCACCGGCUAACUCCGUGCCAGCCGCCGCUGUAA
RNAcentral lists this ribosomal RNA (504 nucleotides) under uncultured bacterium. Its description in RNAcentral is "partial 16S ribosomal RNA". It matches the Rfam family "Bacterial small subunit ribosomal RNA", at positions 30 to 523 of the family's 1533-position model. The record is from RNAcentral.